AAGCCAUGCGAGUCAUGGGGCGCCUUGUGCGCACCGGCGGACGGCUCAGUAACACGUCGGUAACCUACCCUCGGGAGGGGGAUAACCCCGGGAAACUGGGGCUAAUCCCCCAUAGGCCUGAGGUACUGGAAGGUCCUCAGGCCGAAAGGGGCUCUGCCCGCCCGAGGAUGGGCCGGCGGCCGAUUAGGUAGUUGGUGGGGUAACGGCCCACCAAGCCGAAGAUCGGUACGGGCCAUGAGAGUGGGAGCCCGGAGAUGGACACUGAGACACGGGUCCAGGCCCUACGGGGCGCAGCAGGCGCGAAACCUCCGCAAUGCGGGCAACCGCGACGGGGGGACCCCCAGUGCCGUGGCAUCGCCACGGCUUUUCCGGAGUGUAAAGAGCUCCGGGAAUAAGGGCUGGGCAAGGCCGGUGGCAGCCGCCGCGGUAAUACCGGCGGCCCGAGUGGUGGCCGCUAUUAUUGGGCCUAAAGCGUCCG
This 478-nucleotide ribosomal RNA is filed under the name Thermococcus sp. 18S3. RNAcentral describes it as "bacterial SSU rRNA". It matches the Rfam family "Archaeal small subunit ribosomal RNA", at positions 46 to 521 of the family's 1478-position model. Lineage: Archaea; Methanobacteriati; Methanobacteriota; Thermococci; Thermococcales; Thermococcaceae. The record is from RNAcentral.